RNAcentral lists this ribosomal RNA (1204 nucleotides) under uncultured bacterium. RNAcentral describes it as "bacterial SSU rRNA". It matches the Rfam family "Bacterial small subunit ribosomal RNA", at positions 85 to 1306 of the family's 1533-position model. The record is from RNAcentral.
GAAUGGAUUAGUGGCGAACGGGUGAGGAUCACGUGAGAAACCUGCCUUUCAUUUUGGGAUAACACCGGGAAACCGGUGCUAAUACUGGAUACUCCGUCUUGGCGGCAUCGCCGAGCCGGGAAAGAUUUUUCGAUGAAAGAUGGUCUCGCGGCCUAUCAGCUAGUUGGUGAGGUAAUGGCUCACCAAGGCGACGACGGGUAGCCGGCCUGAGAGGGCGACCGGCCACACUGGGACUGAGACACGGCCCAGACUCCUACGGGAGGCAGCAGUGGGGAAUAUUGGGCAAUGGGCGAAAGCCUGACCCAGCGACGCCGCGUGAGGGAUGAAGGCCUUCGGGUUGUAAACCUCUUUCAGUAGGGAAGAAGCGAAAGUGACGGUACCUAAAGAAGAAGCACCGGCUAACUAUGUGCCAGCAGCCGCGGUAAUACAUAGGGUGCAAGCGUUGUCCGGAAUUAUUGGGCGUAAAGAGCUCGUAGGUCGUUUGACACGUCGAUUGUGAAAAUCUGAGGCUCAACCUCAGACCUGCAGUCGAUACGGUCAAACUAGAGUGUGGUAGGGGAGACUGGAAUUCCUGGUGUAGCGGUGGAAUGCGCAGAUAUCAGGAGGAACACCAAUGGCGAAGGCAGGUCUCUGGGCCAUAACUGACACUGAGGAGCGAAAGCGCGGGGAGCGAACAGGAUUAGAUACCCUGGUAGUCCGCGCCGUAAACGGUGGGCACUAGCUGUGGGUCCCUUCCACGGGAUCCGCGACGCAGCAAACGCAUUAAGUGCCCCGCCUGGGGAGUACGAUCGCAAGAUUAAAACUCAAAGGAAUUGACGGGGCCCCGCACAAGCAGCGGAGCAUGCGGCUUAAUUCGACGCAACGCGAAGAACCUUACCAAGGCUUGACAUAUAGCGAAAAGUGGCAGAGAUGUCAUGUCCGCAAGGGCGCUAUACAGGUGGUGCAUGGUUGUCGUCAGCUCGUGUCGUGAGAUGUUGGGUUAAGUCCCGCAACGAGCGCAACCCUCGUUCUGUGUUACCAGCAUUUAGUUGGGGACUCACAGGAGACUGCCGGGGUCAACUCGGAGGAAGGUGGGGAUGACGUCAAAUCAUCAUGCCCCUUAUGUCUUGGGCUGCACGCAUGCUACAAUGGCCGGUACAAAGUGCUGCGAGAUCGUAAGAUUGAGCGAAUCACAUAAAGCCGGUCUCAGUUCGGAUUGAGGUCU